GAUGAACGCUGGCGGCGUGCCUAAUACAUGCAAGUCGAGCGAACAGACGAGGAGCUUGCUCCUCUGACGUUAGCGGCGGACGGGUGAGUAACACGUGGAUAACCUACCUAUAAGACUGUGAUAACUUCGGGAAACCGGAGCUAAUACCGGAUAAUAUAUUGAACCGCAUGGUUCAAUAGUGAAAGACGGUUUUGCUGUCACUUAUAGAUGGAUCCGCGCCGCAUUAGCUAGUUGGUAAGGUAACGGCUUACCAAGGCAACGAUGCGUAGCCGACCUGAGAGGGUGAUCGGCCACACUGGAACUGAGACACGGUCCAGACUCCUACGGGAGGCAGCAGUAGGGAAUCGUCCGCAAUGGGCGAAAGCUUGACGGAGCAACGCCGCGUGAGUGAUGAAGGUCUUCGGAUCGUAAAACUCUGUUAUUAGGGAAGAACAAAUGUGUAAGUAACUAUGCACGUCUUGACGGUACCUAAUCAGAAAGCCACGGCUAACUACGUG
RNAcentral lists this ribosomal RNA (497 nucleotides) under uncultured bacterium. RNAcentral describes it as "partial 16S ribosomal RNA". It matches the Rfam family "Bacterial small subunit ribosomal RNA", at positions 28 to 507 of the family's 1533-position model. The record is from RNAcentral.